This 397-nucleotide ribosomal RNA is filed under the name uncultured bacterium. RNAcentral's name for it is "partial 16S ribosomal RNA". It matches the Rfam family "Bacterial small subunit ribosomal RNA", at positions 523 to 918 of the family's 1533-position model. The record is from RNAcentral.
AUACGUAGGUGGCAAGCGUUGUCCGGAAUUAUUGGGCGUAAAGCGCGCGCAGGCGGUCCUUUAAGUCUGAUGUGAAAGCCCACGGCUCAACCGUGGAGGGUCAUUGGAAACUGGGGGACUUGAGUGCAGAAGAGGAAAGUGGAAUUCCAAGUGUAGCGGUGAAAUGCGUAGAGAUUUGGAGGAACACCAGUGGCGAAGGCGACUUUCUGGUCUGUAACUGACGCUGAGGCGCGAAAGCGUGGGGAGCAAACAGGAUUAGAUACCCUGGUAGUCCACGCCGUAAACGAUGAGUGCUAAGUGUUAGGGGGUUUCCGCCCCUUAGUGCUGCAGCUAACGCAUUAAGCACUCCGCCUGGGGAGUACGGUCGCAAGACUGAAACUCAAAGGAAUUGGCGGGG